This 199-nucleotide long non-coding RNA is filed under the name Lathyrus oleraceus (garden pea). RNAcentral's name for it is "Pisum sativum (pea) long non-coding RNA (PSAT_LNC025925)". Lineage: Eukaryota; Viridiplantae; Streptophyta; Magnoliopsida; Fabales; Fabaceae. The record is from RNAcentral.
UCGAAUUGUAUGAUUUACUUUUGAUUUAGUCAAUAAAUCUAAAGGUAAUGAAUACCCCGCUACACCAAGGUGGAUCCGAUAAAGUAUAUAUUCGAAAAGCCUGCUGUUACUGGUAGAAUUGCCCGAUGGCAAAUGCUGCUAACCGAGUAUGAUAUACAGUACGUUACCCAUAAAGCAAUAAAAGGGAGUGUUUUGUCUG